Melitaea cinxia (Glanville fritillary) is the source of this 119-nucleotide long non-coding RNA. RefSeq lists it as uncharacterized. The transcript has 3 exons. Lineage: Eukaryota; Metazoa; Arthropoda; Insecta; Lepidoptera; Nymphalidae. The record is from RefSeq and is a predicted model, not a curated record.
AUAAUAGUUUCUUACACAUGAGCUUACAAUAGGAUGUCAAUGUUCUUUUAAUUACAGGUUAUCACAACAUGCAUUAUCACGUCAAGUAAUACAAAGAAUUAUAGUAUGAAUUAAUUGUA